GGCCUGUUGGGGGGAAAUAAAAUGAAUGUGGGUGUCAAUUCCGGCAGCCGUCAGAAUCAAAUGCUCGCCAGAAAUAACAUCGGUACUCACCCCUACAAUCAUGCCCGGCGUUACCCCGUCCAUCACGCCCGGGUUGCCGCUUUUGCCAAUACCGGCGAUGUUUCCAUCCCUGAUACCCACGUCAGCCUUGAUCACACCCAGCCGGGCAUCAAGGAGGGUGACGUUGGUAAUCACCAGAUCCAGCACCCCGCUGCCGCGGGUCAGAUCGUUAUUGGCACCCAUACCAUCACGC
This 292-nucleotide small RNA is filed under the name uncultured Ewingella sp. Its description in RNAcentral is "5' ureB small RNA". It matches the Rfam family "5' ureB small RNA". Lineage: Bacteria; Pseudomonadati; Pseudomonadota; Gammaproteobacteria; Enterobacterales; Yersiniaceae. The record is from RNAcentral.